CUGCUAUGUUCUCUUCUUUCCCUGACAAGCUCACCAGUGGAUCCACAAAGCUGUCGCUGCACUCCAAGAUGACACACUCACGGAGCUGAACAGUGCUACGCUCUUGUUGGGGAGAUCCGGACUCAGAGCUCUUAAGUCUGUAUAUUCUGAAGACUUUAUAUUCAGCUCACUAGUGAAGAAGGGAUACUGCAUUGGAAAGAUGAAAUUGGCUAUGAUUCCCUAAAAACAUCUGCUCCCAGCCUGGAAGAGCAUAUUUGCAACAUGCCAGGCAGGGCCACACAGGGACAGCCCUCAGGAGCAGAGCGAACCUGCGGGAGUUACAGGAAGCAGCAGUACUAAGAAGA
Ochotona curzoniae (black-lipped pika) is the source of this 344-nucleotide long non-coding RNA. RefSeq lists it as uncharacterized. The record is from RefSeq and is a predicted model, not a curated record. The transcript has 2 exons. Lineage: Eukaryota; Metazoa; Chordata; Mammalia; Lagomorpha; Ochotonidae.